GACGAACGCUGGCGGCGUGCUUAACACAUGCAAGUCGAACGGAAAGGCCCUGCUUUUGUGGGGUGCUCGAGUGGCGAACGGGUGAGUAACACGUGAGUAACCUGCCCUUGACUUUGGGAUAACUUCAGGAAACUGGGGCUAAUACCGGAUAGGAGCUCCUGCUGCAUGGUGGGGGUUGGAAAGUUUCGGCGGUUGGGGAUGGACUCGCGGCUUAUCAGCUUGUUGGUGGGGUAGUGGCUUACCAAGGCUUUGAAGGGUAGCCGGCCUGAGAGGGUGACCGGCGACAUUGGGACUGAGAUACGGCCCAGACUCCUACGGGAGGCAGCAGUGGGGAAUAUUGCAGAAUGGGCGGAAGCCUGAUGCAGCAACGCCGCGUGCGGGAUGACGGCCUUCGGGUUGUAAACCGCUUUCGCCUGUGACGAAGCGUGAGUGACGGUAAUGGGUAAAGAAGCACCGGCUAACUACGUG
Molecule: ribosomal RNA, 468 nt
Filed under: uncultured bacterium
Lineage: Bacteria
Description: partial 16S ribosomal RNA
Rfam family: Bacterial small subunit ribosomal RNA
Source: RNAcentral